GUGUGUGUGUGUGUGGUGUGUGUGUAGCGUGUGUAGUGUGUGUGUAGCGUGUGUGUGGUGUAUGUGUGUAGCGUGUGUGUGUGUGUUGUAUGUGUGUAGUGUAUGUGUGUAGCGUGUGUAGUGUGUGUGUAGUGUAUGUGUGUAGCGUGUGUAGUGUGUGUGUAGCGUGUGUAGUGUGUGUGUAGCGUGUGUAGUGUGUGUGUGUAGUGUGUGUAGUGUGUGUGUAGCGUGUGUAGUGUCCAGACACUCUUCAUAUUAGCAUCAUUAGUGGUUCAGCUGCUUCAGGACUUGAAAUGUUGAAGAUCUUGGACCUUCUUCUGAGGCAUAGAAGACUUCCACAUCAUCCCCUGAAACAAAGUCAACGUCCCCAUAAGGCCCUGUUUAAAAAGGUAGUGCACUACACAGGCAAUAGGGUGCCAUUCGGGACAGAACCAAACACUUUCUUUCAGAAGUCAUUGGUGCUUCCUGCACCUCAUCUGAGACUGUAAAGACUUUAAAGUUAAUACAACAUUUACAUUUCUUUCUUUUUUUUUUAAACGGACAAAUUAAUGAAAUCUCAACUUCCUGCCAAAUAAAAGUAAACUUGUCCAUCCUCUCAAAUACAUAGAGACACAUGAAAUGAAUAUUAGGAGACCUGAUGUACAGAAACCAGUGUUAAAAAUGAUUCAAACAGCUCCUAACUAGAGCCUCAUAACUAUGUUCCAAAUGGCACCUAUUCUCUAUACACUACACUGCUUUGGACCAGAACCCAUCUGGACCGGGACCCAUCUGGACCGGGACCCAUCUGGACCGGGACCCAUCUGGACCGGAGCCCAUCUGGACCGGAGCCCAUCUGGACCGGAGCCCAUCUGGACCGGGACCCAUCUGGACCAGGACCCAUCUGGACCGGGACCCAUCUGGACCAGACCCAUCUGGACCGGGACCCAUCUGGAGCCCAUCUGGACCCAUCUGGACCAGAGCCCAUCUGGACCCAUCUGGACCAGAGCCCAUCUGGACCCAUCUGGACCAGAGCCCAUCUGGACCCAUCUGGACCAGAGCCCAUCUGGACCCAUCUGGACCAGAGCCCAUCUGGACCCAUCUGAACCAGAGCCCAUCUGGACCCAUCUGAACCAGAGCCCAUCUGGACCCAUCUGGACCAGAGCCCAUCUGGACCCAUCUGGACCAGAGCCCAUCUGGACCCAUCUGGACCAGAGCCCAUCUGGACCCAUCUGGACCAGAGCCCAUCUGGACCCAUCUGGACCAGAGCCCAUCUGGGCCCAUCUGGACCAGAGCCCAUCUGGACCCAUCUGGACCAGAGCCCAUCUGGACCCAUCUGGACCAGAGCCCAUCUUGGCCCAUCUGGACUAUACAGGGAAUAGGGUGCCAUUUGGGACGAAUCUUUCAAAAGGAUUGUUGGGGGGGGUCAUAUUUGUCCUGUCACACACAAGUGUAUUUCUUGCAUAUCCCAACUCCCCCGAAACACCUGCAGGGAGUGGGGUCACGGUCAGGGUCACCAUAUCCCAACUCCCCCUGAGACACCUGCAGGGAGUGGGGUCACGGUCAGGGUCACCACAUCCCAACUCCCCCUGAGACACCUGCAGGGAGUGGGGUCACAGUCAGGGUCACCAUAUCCCAACUCCCC
Molecule: long non-coding RNA, 1621 nt
Organism: Oncorhynchus tshawytscha (Chinook salmon)
Lineage: Eukaryota; Metazoa; Chordata; Actinopteri; Salmoniformes; Salmonidae
Source: Ensembl